Molecule: ribosomal RNA, 200 nt
Filed under: uncultured bacterium
Lineage: Bacteria
Description: partial 16S ribosomal RNA
Rfam family: Bacterial small subunit ribosomal RNA
Source: RNAcentral
AGAGUUUGAUCAUGGCUCAGGACGAACGCUGGCGGCGUGCCUAAUACAUGCAAGUCGAGCGAAUCUUUGGGAGCUUGCUCCCGAAGGUUAGCGGCGGACGGGUGAGUAACACGUGGGCAACCUGCCUGUAAGACUGGGAUAACUUCGGGAAACCGGAGCUAAUACCGGAUAAUUCUUUCCCUCACAUGAGGGGGAGCUUG